This 549-nucleotide ribosomal RNA is filed under the name uncultured bacterium. Its description in RNAcentral is "bacterial SSU rRNA". It matches the Rfam family "Bacterial small subunit ribosomal RNA", at positions 355 to 896 of the family's 1533-position model. The record is from RNAcentral.
UAGGGAAUCUUCCACAAUGGGUGCAAACCUGAUGGAGCAAUGCCGCGUGAGUGAAGAAGGUUUUCGGAUCGUAAAGCUCUGUUGUUAGAGAAGAACACGUGCUAGGUAACUACUAGCGCCUUGACGGUAUCUAACCAGAAAGUCACGGCUAACUACGUGCCAGCAGCCGCGGUAAUACGUAGGUGACAAGCGUUGUCCGGAUUUAUUGGGCGUAAAGGGAGCGCAGGCGGUCUGUUUAGUCUAAUGUGAAAGCCCACGGCUUAACCGUGGAACGGCAUUGGAAACUGACAGACUUGAAUGUAGAAGAGGAAAAUGGAAUUCCAAGUGUAGCGGUGGAAUGCGUAGAUAUUUGGAGGAACACCAGUGGCGAAGGCGAUUUUCUGGUCUAACAUUGACGCUGAGGCUCGAAAGCGUGGGGAGCGAACAGGAUUAGAUACCCUGGCAGUCCACGCCGUAAACGAUGAGUGCUAAGUGUUGGGGGCUUUCCGGCCCUCGGUGCUGGAGCUAACGUAUUAAGCACUCCGCCUGGGGAUUACGACCGCAAGGUUG